Molecule: non-coding RNA, 120 nt
Filed under: Spirochaetota bacterium
Lineage: Bacteria; Pseudomonadati; Spirochaetota
Description: Spirochaetes bacterium FMN sequence
Rfam family: FMN riboswitch aptamer (RFN element)
About the family: The RFN element is a highly conserved domain that is found frequently in the 5'-untranslated regions of prokaryotic mRNAs that encode for flavin mononucleotide (FMN) biosynthesis and transport proteins.
Source: RNAcentral
UAUAUCCUUCAGGGCGGGGCGUGAUUCCCCACCGGCGGUAAAGCCCGCGAGCGUUAUUUUAACGCAUGAACCUGUGUAAUUCAGGUGCCGACAGUAUAGUCUGGAUGAAAGAAGGCGAAC